Molecule: ribosomal RNA, 2786 nt
Filed under: human gut metagenome
Description: bacterial LSU rRNA
Rfam family: Bacterial large subunit ribosomal RNA
Source: RNAcentral
AGCGUACACGGUGGAUGCCCUGGCAGUCAGAGGCGAUGAAGGACGUGCUAAUCUGCGAUAAGCGUCGGUAAGGUGAUAUGAACCGUUAUAACCGGCGAUUUCCGAAUGGGGAAACCCAGUGUGUUUCGACACACUAUCAUUAACUGAAUCCAUAGGUUAAUGAGGCGAACCGGGGGAACUGAAACAUCUAAGUACCCCGAGGAAAAGAAAUCAACCGAGAUUCCCCCAGUAGCGGCGAGCGAACGGGGAGGAGCCCAGAGCCUGAAUCAGUGUGUGUGUUAGUGGAAGCGUCUGGAAAGGCGCGCGAUACAGGGUGACAGCCCCGUACACAAAAAUGCACAUACUGUGAGCUCGAUGAGUAGGGCGGGACACGUGGUAUCCUGUCUGAAUAUGGGGGGACCAUCCUCCAAGGCUAAAUACUCCUGACUGACCGAUAGUGAACCAGUACCGUGAGGGAAAGGCGAAAAGAACCCCGGCGAGGGGAGUGAAAAAGAACCUGAAACCGUGUACGUACAAGCAGUGGGAGCCUCUUUUAUGGGGUGACUGCGUACCUUUUGUAUAAUGGGUCAGCGACUUAUAUUCUGUAGCAAGGUUAACCGAAUAGGGGAGCCGAAGGGAAACCGAGUCUUAACUGGGCGUUAAGUUGCAGGGUAUAGACCCGAAACCCGGUGAUCUAGCCAUGGGCAGGUUGAAGGUUGGGUAACACUAACUGGAGGACCGAACCGACUAAUGUUGAAAAAUUAGCGGAUGACUUGUGGCUGGGGGUGAAAGGCCAAUCAAACCGGGAGAUAGCUGGUUCUCCCCGAAAGCUAUUUAGGUAGCGCCUCGUGAAUUCAUCUCCGGGGGUAGAGCACUGUUUCGGCAAGGGGGUCAUCCCGACUUACCAACCCGAUGCAAACUGCGAAUACCGGAGAAUGUUAUCACGGGAGACACACGGCGGGUGCUAACGUCCGUCGUGAAGAGGGAAACAACCCAGACCGCCAGCUAAGGUCCCAAAGUCAUGGUUAAGUGGGAAACGAUGUGGGAAGGCCCAGACAGCCAGGAUGUUGGCUUAGAAGCAGCCAUCAUUUAAAGAAAGCGUAAUAGCUCACUGGUCGAGUCGGCCUGCGCGGAAGAUGUAACGGGGCUAAACCAUGCACCGAAGCUGCGGCAGCGACACUAUGUGUUGUUGGGUAGGGGAGCGUUCUGUAAGCCUGUGAAGGUGUACUGUGAGGUAUGCUGGAGGUAUCAGAAGUGCGAAUGCUGACAUAAGUAACGAUAAAGCGGGUGAAAAGCCCGCUCGCCGGAAGACCAAGGGUUCCUGUCCAACGUUAAUCGGGGCAGGGUGAGUCGACCCCUAAGGCGAGGCCGAAAGGCGUAGUCGAUGGGAAACAGGUUAAUAUUCCUGUACUUGGUGUUACUGCGAAGGGGGGACGGAGAAGGCUAUGUUGGCCGGGCGACGGUUGUCCCGGUUUAAGCGUGUAGGCUGGUUUUCCAGGCAAAUCCGGAAAAUCAAGGCUGAGGCGUGAUGACGAGGCACUACGGUGCUGAAGCAACAAAUGCCCUGCUUCCAGGAAAAGCCUCUAAGCAUCAGGUAACAUCAAAUCGUACCCCAAACCGACACAGGUGGUCAGGUAGAGAAUACCAAGGCGCUUGAGAGAACUCGGGUGAAGGAACUAGGCAAAAUGGUGCCGUAACUUCGGGAGAAGGCACGCUGAUAUGUAGGUGAAGCGACUUGCUCGUGGAGCUGAAAUCAGUCGAAGAUACCAGCUGGCUGCAACUGUUUAUUAAAAACACAGCACUGUGCAAACACGAAAGUGGACGUAUACGGUGUGACGCCUGCCCGGUGCCGGAAGGUUAAUUGAUGGGGUCAGCGCAAGCGAAGCUCUUGAUCGAAGCCCCGGUAAACGGCGGCCGUAACUAUAACGGUCCUAAGGUAGCGAAAUUCCUUGUCGGGUAAGUUCCGACCUGCACGAAUGGCGUAAUGAUGGCCAGGCUGUCUCCACCCGAGACUCAGUGAAAUUGAACUCGCUGUGAAGAUGCAGUGUACCCGCGGCAAGACGGAAAGACCCCGUGAACCUUUACUAUAGCUUGACACUGAACAUUGAGCCUUGAUGUGUAGGAUAGGUGGGAGGCUUGGAAGUGUGGACGCCAGUCUGCAUGGAGCCGACCUUGAAAUACCACCCUUUAAUGUUUGAUGUUCUAACGUUGACCCGUGAUCCGGGUUGCGGACAGUGUCUGGUGGGUAGUUUGACUGGGGCGGUCUCCUCCUAAAGAGUAACGGAGGAGCACGAAGGUUGGCUAAUCCUGGUCGGACAUCAGGAGGUUAGUGCAAUGGCAUAAGCCAGCUUGACUGCGAGCGUGACGGCGCGAGCAGGUGCGAAAGCAGGUCAUAGUGAUCCGGUGGUUCUGAAUGGAAGGGCCAUCGCUCAACGGAUAAAAGGUACUCCGGGGAUAACAGGCUGAUACCGCCCAAGAGUUCAUAUCGACGGCGGUGUUUGGCACCUCGAUGUCGGCUCAUCACAUCCUGGGGCUGAAGUAGGUCCCAAGGGUAUGGCUGUUCGCCAUUUAAAGUGGUACGCGAGCUGGGUUUAGAACGUCGUGAGACAGUUCGGUCCCUAUCUGCCGUGGGCGCUGGAGAACUGAGGGGGGCUGCUCCUAGUACGAGAGGACCGGAGUGGACGCAUCACUGGUGUUCGGGUUGUCAUGCCAAUGGCACUGCCCGGUAGCUAAAUGCGGAAGAGAUAAGUGCUGAAAGCAUCUAAGCACGAAACUUGCCCCGAGAUGAGUUCUCCCUGACUCCUUGA